Molecule: long non-coding RNA, 1089 nt
Filed under: Moschus moschiferus (Siberian musk deer)
Lineage: Eukaryota; Metazoa; Chordata; Mammalia; Artiodactyla; Moschidae
Description: lncRNA (ENSMMSG00000020384.1)
Source: RNAcentral
AUGGGCAGAGGACGCAGCGUCUUCAACGGUGACCUGAAGCCUGGGCCAGAAUGGAGGUCACAGGUAAGGACGGGGGACCUGAGAGGCCUGGGGGUCCAGGUGAGAAAGAGGUCCCAGGCCUUACCUGAUGGGGCCAGGAGGAAAGUAGGCCUCCUGGAGCUGGACCCUGAGGGCCACACGAUGCUGUGCAAGGAUGGCUGCUGCUUGGGCUGCUCCCUUCUCAUCCCCACCCUCUACGGCCCGGGUCAGGCGCCCUGCCAGCUCUUCUGCAGGGGAAGAGAGAGCCAUCGCAGCCCCACACUGGCCGCUUCCCCCAGCCCCUCCGGCCCCCUGCCUUUACCUUUCUCCAUCAAGUCUCCAGGGCUCCAAGGAAGAUCCACCUUGGGUUGGGGGGCCUUGGCUGUGGGUACUUCAUGGGGACUGGGUGGGGAGACAGGGCACGUUUCUGGGCCUAGGGCUGGGGGCAAGCUGCCUAGGAGGAAAGAUGUGGGGUGGGCUGGUGGUCUCUUUGAGAUCUGGCCGCCCACGGAGUACAAACCCAGGCCUCUGCCCUCUCACCUCAGGCUUCCAGUGCCUUUGUCUCCUCCCCUUAGCCCACGCCAGGGCCCUGCCUUGGCCACAUUUCAAGCCAGACCUUGGCUCAGUCUUGGCCCUUGCACAACACAGAGGUCCCUGCCAACUCCACUCAGAGUUGCAUUUGGCUCUUUCUUGGGCUCUGGAGUCCUUCUGGCCUCCUUUGCUGCCCAGUCCCACCUGCAGCCCUCCUCCACAGGGGCCAGGCCACUUCUCUUGGCCUGUACAAGCCCUCUCAGCCAGUCAAAAAGCUCCCUGAACCUCAGAGCAGAACCAGCAGAGGUCUCCAGGAGUCCUGCAGUCAAGGUGGCCUCCUUUCAGGGAACUCCGACAUCUCCUGGCUCUGCCGUCAACACAGAGCACUCUGGGCUGAUCCCAUUCCAAACAACCCCUCUCCAGCUGGUGCUUGUCCUGAGCGUGCCACCGGCUCCCCUUCUUACCUCCCACUUGACGCCCUGCCCAUGUGGUGCAGAUGCAGCUUCUUUGCCUCAAUAUUCUGAGCCGUCUGCCCAUUGA